AGAUGAUGCAUUUUGGUGGUGACAAAGAAUGCAGAGGGAGCAAUGUUGUGUAAGUUCCAAGGCAAGACCUUAAGAAGCUUUGUGUGUCUCUCACCUUCUUGUGUGACUCCUGGAACCACAUAAGCAAGCUUGAAGUAGACUAUGAAUGAUGAGAGACCACGAGGAGAGAGAGGCCCAGCCAGCAUCCAGUACUAUGACUCCAGAUGUACACAUCAAGCCUUGGCCUUGUCUCUGACCGUGGCCACACCAGUUACCCUAUACAAGAGCAGGAAAGAGAACCAUCCAAAGUGCCCGUCAAACACAGAAUCAUGAGAGAUAAUAGAUUCUUGUGUUUUAAGCUACUAAAUUUUUGUUUGCUGUACUACAGGUUUUUUUGGUGAAAGGAAGUUUAUCUUAACAGAUGCGGGACAAGGACAGAACUCAAAGUCAUCCCUCUUCCCACCCGAGACAAAUGCAUAUCUGAUUGCUUCCUCCGCCUGUUGCUUAUGUAAAAAUGCAGAUUCACUGAGACAGACUGAGGCAUAAGUGACUCUUCCUCUACCCUCCUCACAUGUAAAUUGUGUACUCAGUGAAAGGCUGAUCAGAAUCAAAAUAAUACAACCUUUUGUCUCUUAUCUACCUACCACCUGGAAGCCCCCACUUCGAGUUGCCCCACCUUUCCAGACUGAACCAAUGUACAUCUUAAAUGUACUGAUUGAUGUCUCAUAUCUCCCUAAAAUGUAUAAAACCAAGCUAUACCCCUAUCACUUUGGGUACAAGUCAUCAGGACCUCCUGAGGCUAUGUCACGGGCACGUCCUUAACCUUGGCAAAAUAAACUUUCUACAUUGAUUGA
Molecule: long non-coding RNA, 833 nt
Filed under: Homo sapiens (human)
Lineage: Eukaryota; Metazoa; Chordata; Mammalia; Primates; Hominidae
Description: HSALNT0277908
Source: RNAcentral